AGCACAGGGGAACAAACACAAGAUGCAGCACCUAUCGCCGCUUCCUCGUAGAGACAAGAGGCGAACUUCACACCCUUGGCUAUGGCAUUGGCAGAAUGGCUGGCAUUUACAGAGUUACGGACGGACUUCGAGGACCGAAAGAGAUGGCUGUGGAGUUGGUGACGACAGACCAGUGUGAGCGAGCAAUGGCUUCUUGGUUCAUCCUCUGGGUCCCAUGCUGACCGUGUUUGCGCUAAGAUUUUAAGAUUAUGAACAAGUAGCGCGGCUCGACGGAUGUGGCGAUUUGAAGCAUUCUUUGCUGUGCGUCAGUUUGAGUCGUCGCCGGCGCAAUCAUUCACCGCCAGUGAUAGCGCGUGCUGUUCGGAUCGGAAGGUUUUAGAGUAUGAUAGUGUCGUGUACCUGGCGUCUGUAUCGGUUUCUUGGAGGUGAUUUAUCAGAGCGAAUGAAUUUCGGCGAGUAUGUGGGAUUGAGGAAGAGUAUGGAGUAGGUAAUUUUGUUUUGCUGGAGUUGUAUGACUUGAGGGAGCUUCGGUCAGAGUGUAAUGUGUGAGCUGUUAGCUGUUAGGUUUCUCCUGGAGUUUAUAGUUACGCUUUUGUUGAAAUCCAAGAGAAGGGAGUUUCAAGUGCUUGAGCUAAGAAUGUGGAAAUCGUUUUCGGAAUUGUGAUAUUUGAGGAGAAUUUUGUCAAGAAAGAGGUGACAGUGGUAUUGAUUAUUGUGCUUGCACGGCAGGUACUGGAAAGGGAUUUACGGUGAAUGUUGGAAGUGUACUGGCUACUUAACGUUGAACGCACUUGUUAUGAAUCAGAUAUCGUGUGGACGCAUUCAGUGGUUUUACGUUUGGUGCAUGUUCUUUUGCAAUUUCGAAAUCUUUGACAGAAGCUCGAAGCUGAUUCUUCAAGAAUCAAUUCCAGAGAGUUUCAAGACUGAGAAACGAAACUUGCUUGUUCUGGUCUGAACCUUUUCAUGUUGCAAGCUGAUUGGUUGAAAGAAGUUGAAGACAGAUGGAAAGCAAGUGAUUAGUAUGCAAAACAAAGUCAACAUUGCUGGGAUGAAAGACGGCAUUGCUGCUUUGAAGCGCGGCAAAGCUUUCAUGAAUCUAAUUCAUAAAGCGAAACAUCUGCCUGAGGUUUCCUUUAAAUGCAAGCUUGAUGCACUGUUUCUCUGGCUUGCUCUUUUCAACUCAACGAAAUCUGUGUUAGAUUUUCGUUCUGUUGAAACUUGAUCACACUACCCGUGAAAUCAAAAUGUUUGCCUCCUGGAUGAGCCUUUGAAUUACAUUAUUUAAGCUGAUUAAGGUGCAGUUUGGUUAUUUUAGAAUUUAAACCAUCGUUGCGAAUAUGCGGCCGCUAGACUAUUCUGAUAGCUUCUCCAGCUCUGAUCCUUCCAAACCGCACAGUAGUUUUCUUUUCGCAUCGAUGUCUAGGUUUUUAACAUGGUAGUGCAUCCAGAUCGAAUCACUUAUCACUCUGCAGCGGCUUCAGAUCAAUGAACGCAAAUAGUUGCAGCAAGUGCCCGUUAUCUGCAAUUCAUUUCCCCUACUUUCAGUCUUGUGUGCAUGACAGGGCUAUACGAGAGAUCUGCAAGUGACACUGUUAAUAUUGUUUUAAAUAAUAAGAGGUGUAAGAUUUAUGUGACGUGAGAUUUUCAUGGACUAUGUAAUCAUAUCAGUUGUCUUAGAAAUGAGACCAAAAAUACUGAAGUUGGUGCAUAUAUAAACUAUAUCAGAGUUGCUGCCGCCCUCGAAAAUUAGGAAAAUAUUACGUAGAUAAUGAUAUCUCACACUUCAUAUGGCUUAUGCGAUAGGAGAAAGUACCCACCGGAACGUUGAGUAAUGCGCAAUUGAAUCUCAGGCUGUCGUUCCAUCACGGCGUCUUUGGAACUGCUUCAAUUUUGGCCUUUGAUCCAAUUCAACGCCUUCUUGAAGUUGCCUCAGUAGAUGGACGUAUCAAGAUCUUUGGAGGUGCAGGUGUAGAAGCUUUCUUUCAAUCGUCCACACGAGUCCCAUGUAAAUUUCUGAAGUUCACAUCUGGUGGACAACUCGUUCAUAUUAAUGCUGAGAAUGACGUUGAGGUUUGGGAUCUUGAAAAGCAAACGCUGGGGUGCUCGCUCAGAUGGGAGAGCAAAAUCACAGCAUUUACUGAGAUUCCUGGCACUCAGUUCAUGUUGAUCCACCCCUCAUUUUUUCUCAAACCUUCUAUCUGCUGCUCCGUAUCGUCAUCACAAGAUAGAGAUUACAAAUUAAUAGUGCUAGUAGAUGCUCCAGUAUUGAAUUGCAAGGAGAAAGAAUACAACUAUCGUAUUUUCUUGAAGCAUAGUUAAAACAUGAUUUCAAGCUUUUAAAAACUGCUCGAAGUUGGCGUUGCAGUCAAAUGCCGCAUUUAACAAUAUUCAAAGAUUGAACCUGGUGUAGAUCAUCUUGGAAAAUUGGGAAAAAAUCUUUUCUAUCCUCAUGAAUUGUUCUCUGAUAGAGAGUGAUCUGCCCCCACGGUAUAUUGGAAACGAAUUUGGAACUGUUUCUGUUGUUCAGUUCAGCAAACUGCAGCGAAAGUUGUCUGAGCUUCCAUAUGCCAUUCCUGCUAGUGUAACGUUAGGUUGGUUAUUGUUUAUGAAAAUGCCCUGUUGGUACUUUGGGACCUUCACGAGAAAAAAGUCAUUGGUGUGCGUGGAGGAACAAAAGCAACGUGAAAUUCUUGCAGAAAACUUCAUUAGUAUGCACGAACAAGCUGAAUUACCCGUCGGACAGCCUCAAAUUCCCUGUCCCAAGGCUGUGAGUGAUGAAGAGGACGAAGAAAAGGAAAUCUGCGCCGCAUGUUGGACCUGUGGAAACACCUUGUGCACUGGAUACAUAGAUGGCGAUGUUUGGAUUUGGAGUAUUCCUUCAGUAACAACAGACGACUCUGGGAUUAGCUGUCCUUUUAUUUCAGGAGAACCUCUUCGAAAACUAGAUACACUGCCCGGAAAAUCAACACGAAUGCCUAUUUUCGUCAUGGCAUGGUCUGGUGAUUUGAGAGCCAGCAAAAGUGGUGGCCGGUUGUAUUUAGUAGGAGGUCGAGAAGUGGGUUCCCCAGAAGUGCUUACAGUUCUGCCUUUGGAUGGAAACACAAAUUCAGCGAAGUUGCCACGGCUAGAGCUUCUAUUGCAUGGACCAUUUAGAGAUUUGGCUCUUCUGCCGAAUCCAGGCGGUGCAUCAAUUGCGGCACUAGUAGUCCUUACUUCGCCAGGACAAUUGCAUUUGUACGAUGAAGCUGGCAUUGCUUCUUGUUUCUCCUCUCAGAAUGAAAGUGGUUCCUCAUCAUCUUUAGUGCCAGUGACUUGGCCGGCUCCAUUGCCAUCCACUACAGCAAUCAAAUUUGCUUUACUUCCACAACAGUCAGCAGCGUAUUCUAUCUUACCACAGCAGCGACGUUGUGCCCUUUUCGUUGCCAGCUGGAACACAGUGGCCAAUAACUGGAGGGAAGAUGAACUCUUGUUCCUCAUUGUCAAAGCAGGAUUGGCCACACACAAUUCUAAUCACGGGCCUCAAGAGAGGGCAGGUACAGAUGUGGGAUACCUCCACGUCAACGUUGCAACUUCUUCAGGUCGCAGAAAUACAGACCGGAAUAGAAGCAAGCCCAGUUUCAGCUUUGGCUUUCUGUCCAUUUUUACAGAACUUGGCAGUGGGCAAUGAGCAAGGCAAGGUGUCGUUGCACAGUUUCAGUGUUGAAUCAAGGGAGAUCAACUGCUGCUUUAUUAACAGCAUUAACAGUUCUCAAGGCUCUGUUUCUAGGCUGAAGGCAGUUCCUGGAUUUCAAUGUACGCUUGUUUUAAGUGUGCAUCAAUCGGAAAUAUGUUCGCUAACCAUCGCCAGUAAGUUGCGGAGGCUUGCCACAGGUGAUGUAGCUGGUGUGGUAGUGUUACAACAUGGGUAUACAUCAUGCACUGAAUAUACGUGUAAGGGGGUUUUUGUUAUUUUGUUUUUCUAUUUUCAUUUUUGACGUAAAAUGUUAGAAGCGUAGAAGCCUGAAGCACUAUGCACAACCUUAUGGAUCUGCAUUCAAUUGUGUCGUUUAUCUGACAAAUAUCACUGUUCGACCUGGAUAAUGGACUCUUAUAUAUUUGGGCAGUAGUUUUGAGGGGAAAAUCAACCGUAACAUCAGCAGCAUUGCUUUUGCAACCGUCCCUGUUAAUUUGAAGAGCAGCACUUCUUCUCCUAUGUCGCGAUCGGGGUCCAGGAAUAAAUCUUCUCCACCUGUCUUACUAUUUGGGCCCAGGAGCCAACCUUGUUCACCUAUGUCUCUCCUUCGUUCUCAUCUCCAGUGAUAUUCAUAGCAAACAAAGAAGGGUCC
Molecule: non-coding RNA, 4325 nt
Organism: Physcomitrium patens
Lineage: Eukaryota; Viridiplantae; Streptophyta; Bryopsida; Funariales; Funariaceae
Source: RefSeq, a predicted model, not a curated record